AGUCAAAUGCAUUGGAUUGUGGC
RNAcentral lists this non-coding RNA (23 nucleotides) under Arabidopsis thaliana (thale cress). Lineage: Eukaryota; Viridiplantae; Streptophyta; Magnoliopsida; Brassicales; Brassicaceae. The record is from RNAcentral.